CUCCGGAUAUGAGUGCA
This 17-nucleotide unclassified non-coding RNA is filed under the name Mus musculus (house mouse). Its description in RNAcentral is "oocyte_clustered_small_RNA4215". Lineage: Eukaryota; Metazoa; Chordata; Mammalia; Rodentia; Muridae. The record is from RNAcentral.